Long non-coding RNA from Eufriesea mexicana, 728 nucleotides. RefSeq lists it as uncharacterized. The transcript has 3 exons. Lineage: Eukaryota; Metazoa; Arthropoda; Insecta; Hymenoptera; Apidae. The record is from RefSeq and is a predicted model, not a curated record.
AAAAUAAUUAGGAAUUCAAAUCAAAUUUCGAGCAAUUGUUUUAAAUGCUCCGAUCCUCUGCAAACCGGAGCGUGAGAGAGCGCAGUGAACCGGGAGGAAGCACGCGUAAGUGUGCGUCAAGGGACAAGCGUAAAAAAGGAAGAUAUGAAAAAGAAUACAACGUUGGAUAUAAGAGAGUUAAUUAUAAUCGUGGGACUUGUGGUCAGGACGACGUUAACCCGUGACAGUUAUUAUGCUUCUAAGUAGAAUCGCAUUACCACCAAUUAUCAUCCAUAAGACUUUCAUAGAAUUUCCUAAAGUGUCUGCAAGAAAUAUGGCGGCAAUCCUUACGGCAUAGUCCCGAAUAAAGGGCUAUAACUCCACAAAGCUGUAACUUCAUUCCGUCGUAUUGAUUCUAUCAAAAAAGUGGAAGAAAACGUCGGUAACGUAAAAUUUAACGUGCAGAGUGGAGAGAAAGUGGAGUGGAACACACGUACGUAGUUGUGGAACUGGCUACGACGAGCUCCAGCCAAGUGAAGCGUAUAUCAGACACUUCGUGACGUACGAGGCGUCCGAUGAUUUGUUUACGAGUCGCUCUCCAAUCGCGACUCUUUGUUUUCGUGCUGUGUUGAGCACAGAUUGAGGCACUAUUCUUAACGAAUGUAUCAACCGUUUAAACUGCGACGAAACGAUCGCGAAUUCAAUAUACCAACGCUUAACACAACGCUAUAAUUAUUGUUCCAGAAACU